GCUCCCGCGGGGAGGAUGGUUUUGUGCCUUUAUUGAUGUGCUGCCCGCCUCCCUCUGUUCUCAGAGUCGCUUUGUUUUCGGAGUCACUUUUCUUUAUUCUCAGAGUCACUUGUUGAAGCGGGAGGGCAAGAAGUUGUUGGAAACGGCACAGAAGAGCGCUGAUGACCGGAUGGAAUCGUGGGGACAGGCGGGAGGAUGAUCGCUGCGUUAGAAAACCACGUCAGGGCUCGGCUGUGAAGCACGACACCCCUGUCCAGUCUCUUCUCACACUGUAACUACCAUGGACAGCAAGAAGCUGGUGGGACAGUUGCAAGCUAGUCUGUGUCAGGGCUUUAUCAGUCAAAGCACUGUUGAGUAACCUCAGAAACUUGAUUCCUAGUGAUUGUCUCCAUGUCUCUGCUGACUCCUGCUGAAACAACAUGACUGAGAGGGCAGCAGCAGAGAGCCUACACAGAGCACCCCGAGACCACCCCGCCAGAGAAGCAAAGUUCACCCUCACCUCGCCAGCCAUUGCGGACGAUGUUCUGCUUGUUCCGGCAGCGAUCCCGCAACUGGUGCGACCUGUGGGACAGCGCA
Molecule: long non-coding RNA, 576 nt
Organism: Pezoporus occidentalis (night parrot)
Lineage: Eukaryota; Metazoa; Chordata; Aves; Psittaciformes; Psittacidae
Exons: 3
Source: RefSeq, a predicted model, not a curated record